This 450-nucleotide ribosomal RNA is filed under the name uncultured bacterium. Its description in RNAcentral is "partial 16S ribosomal RNA". It matches the Rfam family "Bacterial small subunit ribosomal RNA", at positions 338 to 795 of the family's 1533-position model. The record is from RNAcentral.
CCUACGGGGGGCUGCAGUGGGGAAUUUUGGACAAUGGGGGCAACCCUGAUCCAGCCAUUCCGCGUGAGUGAAGAAGGCCUUCGGGUUGUAAAGCUCUUUUGUCCGGAGCGAAACGGGCGGCCCUAAUACGGUCGUCUACUGACGGUACCGGAAGAAUAAGCACCGGCUAACUACGUGCCAGCAGCCGCGGUAAUACGUAGGGUGCGUGCGUUAAUCGGAAUUUGUGGGGGCGGUGCUGUCGCCCAGGGGUGAAAUCCCCGGGCUCAACCUGGGAAUGGCAUUUGGGACUGCAAGGCUGGAGUGUGGCAGAGGGGACUAGAAUUCCUGGUGUAGCAGUGAAAUGCGUAGAUAUCAGGAGGAAUACCGAUGGCGAAGGCAGGUCCCUGGGUUAACACUGACGCUCAUGCACGAAAGCGUGGGGAGCAAACAGGAUUAGAUACCCUAGUAGUC